This 447-nucleotide ribosomal RNA is filed under the name uncultured bacterium. RNAcentral's name for it is "bacterial SSU rRNA". It matches the Rfam family "Bacterial small subunit ribosomal RNA", at positions 355 to 825 of the family's 1533-position model. The record is from RNAcentral.
UCGGGAAUUUUGGGCAAUGGGCGAAAGCCUGACCCAGCAACGCCGCGUGAAGGAUGAAGUAUUUCGGUAUGUAAACUUCGUAAGAAUAGGAAGAAUAAAUGACGGUACUAUUUGUAAGGUCCGGCUAACUACGUGCCAGCAGCCGCGGUAAUACGUAGGGACCAAGCGUUGUUCGGAUUUACUGGGCGUAAAGGGCGCGUAGGCGGUGUGUCAAGUCAGUUGUGAAAUCUCCGAGCUUAACUCGGAACGGUCAACUGAUACUGUCACACUAGAGUACAGAAGGGGCAAUCGGAAUUCUUGGUGUAGCGGUGAAAUGCGUAGAUAUCAAGAGGAACACCUGAGGCGAAGGCGGGUUGCUGGGCUGAUACUGACGCUGAGGCGCGAAAGCUAGGGUAGCAAACGGGAUUAGAUACCCGCGUAGUCCCUGAGCGGGCUGGCAAGGCGCAU